Molecule: ribosomal RNA, 501 nt
Filed under: Streptococcus sp. HFH0036
Lineage: Bacteria; Bacillati; Bacillota; Bacilli; Lactobacillales; Streptococcaceae
Description: bacterial SSU rRNA
Rfam family: Bacterial small subunit ribosomal RNA
Source: RNAcentral
ACGGGUGAGUAACGCGUAGGUAACCUGCCUCUUAGCGGGGGAUAACUAUUGGAAACGAUAGCUAAUACCGCAUAAAAGUCGACAUUGCAUGAUGUUGACUUGAAAGGUGCAAUUGCAUCACUAAGAGAUGGACCUGCGUUGUAUUAGCUAGUUGGUGAGGUAACGGCUCACCAAGGCGACGAUACAUAGCCGACCUGAGAGGGUGAUCGGCCACACUGGGACUGAGACACGGCCCAGACUCCUACGGGAGGCAGCAGUAGGGAAUCUUCGGCAAUGGGGGCAACCCUGACCGAGCAACGCCGCGUGAGUGAAGAAGGUUUUCGGAUCGUAAAGCUCUGUUGUAAGAGAAGAAUGAGUGUGAGAGUGGAAAGUUCACACUGUGACGGUAACUUACCAGAAAGGGACGGCUAACUACGUGCCAGCAGCCGCGGUAAUACGUAGGUCCCGAGCGUUAUCCGGAUUUAUUGGGCGUAAAGCGAGCGCAGGCGGUUAGAUAAGUCU